This is a long non-coding RNA of Salvia miltiorrhiza (redroot sage), 514 nucleotides long. RefSeq lists it as uncharacterized. NCBI's taxonomy places the organism in Eukaryota, Viridiplantae, Streptophyta, Magnoliopsida, Lamiales, Lamiaceae. The record is from RefSeq and is a predicted model, not a curated record. The transcript is spliced from 2 exons.
UAUUCGAUUCUUUAAGGCUAUUAUCAGCCCUUUUACUCAUUCCUUAGUUCUUCAACAACCAAAGGAAUGAGAGAUUUCAUUUACUGCUGCCAAACUUCGAACAUCUAUCUCCUCAUUAAAUUCAAUGGCAACAAACAGCCACCAACAACAAGCAAUUACAGGUCAAGCGCGAGAGUAAGAACUACACAAGGAGUUAGAGUACCUUAGCAAAACUUUGCUAUCAGGUUGAGCUGUGAUGGGCGAUGAAGUGUUGCUGAAUGGAGUUUUUGUCGAACUUAAAGUAGGCUCAGAAAGGAUACAUGUCUUCAUACAUGUAUCUCAGUUAUGCAUUCCGCUGUAAACACUGAUUAUUUCAGUUACACCUUCCGUUACAAACUCUGAUAAUGUUUUAGCCAAGCCCCUAAAAAUGCCUUUUUCCUUUUAAGGAAUAUAACGCGUAUACAAGUUCUUUGAGUACCCUUUUUAUGCGAACUAUGCCUUUUUCCUUUUUAAGGAAUAUUUCACGCGUAUUCAA